AGCGAACGCUGGCGGCAGGCCUAACACAUGCAAGUCGAACGAACCUUUCGGGGUUAGUGGCGGACGGGUGAGUAACACGUGGGAACGUGCCUUUAGGUUCGGAAUAACUCAGGGAAACUUGUGCUAAUACCGAAUGUGCCCUUCGGGGGAAAGAUUAAUCGCCUUUAGAGCGGCCCGCGUCUGAUUAGCUAGUUGGUUGAGGUAAUGGCUCACCAAGGCGACGAUCAGUAGCUGGUCUGAGAGGAGGAUCAGCCACAUUGGGACUGAGACACGGCCCAAACUCCUACGGGAGGCAGCAGUGGGGAAUCUUGCGCAAUGGGCGAAAGCCUGACGCAGCCAUGCCGCGUGAAUGAUGAAGGUCUAAGGAUUGUAAAAUUCUUUCACCGGGGACGAUAAUGACGGUACCCGGAGAAGAAGCCCCGGCGAACUUCG
Molecule: ribosomal RNA, 432 nt
Filed under: uncultured bacterium
Lineage: Bacteria
Description: partial 16S ribosomal RNA
Rfam family: Bacterial small subunit ribosomal RNA
Source: RNAcentral